This 234-nucleotide ribosomal RNA is filed under the name Salmonella enterica subsp. enterica serovar Typhimurium. RNAcentral describes it as "partial 23S ribosomal RNA". It matches the Rfam family "Bacterial large subunit ribosomal RNA", at positions 1220 to 1454 of the family's 2925-position model. Lineage: Bacteria; Pseudomonadati; Pseudomonadota; Gammaproteobacteria; Enterobacterales; Enterobacteriaceae. The record is from RNAcentral.
GGACAAUGGUAGGAGAGCGUUCUAAGGGCGUCGAAGCAUGAUCGCAAGGACAUGUGGAGCGCUUAGAAGUGAGAAUGCCGGUGUGAGUAGCGAAAGACGGGUGAGAAUCCCGUCCACCGAUUGACUAAGGUUUCCAGAGGAAGGCUCGUCCGCUCUGGGUUAGUCGGGUCCUAAGCUGAGGCCGACAGGCGUAGGCGAUGGAUAACAGGUUGAUAUUCCUGUACCACCUAGUAU